RNAcentral lists this ribosomal RNA (438 nucleotides) under uncultured bacterium. RNAcentral describes it as "bacterial SSU rRNA". It matches the Rfam family "Bacterial small subunit ribosomal RNA", at positions 338 to 796 of the family's 1533-position model. The record is from RNAcentral.
CCUACAGGCAGCAGUGGGGAAUAUUGGACAAUGGGCGCAAGCCUGAUCCAGCCAUGCCGCGUGGGUGAUGAAGGCCUUAGGGUUGUAAACCCCUUUCAGCGGGGAAGAUAAUGACGGUACCCGCAGAAGAAGCCCCGGCUAACUCCGUGCCAGCAGCCGCGGUAAUACGGAGGGGGCUAGCGUUGUUCGGAAUUACUGGGCGUAAAGCGCACGUAGGCGGACUUUCAAGUCAGGGGUGAAAUCCCGAGGCUCAACCUCGGAACUGCCUUUGAUACUGUAAGUCUUGAGUCCGAGAGAGGUGAGUGGAAUUCCUAGUGUAGAGGUGAAAUUCGUAGAUAUUAGGAAGAACACCAGUGGCGAAGGCGGCUCACUGGCUCGGUACUGACGCUGAGGAGCGAAAGCGUGGGUAGCAAACAGGAUUAGAUACCCCAGUAGUCC